GAUGAACGCUAGCUACAGGCUUAACACAUGCAAGUCGAGGGGAAACGAUAUUGGAAGCUUGCUUCUGAUAGGCGUCGACCGGCGCACGGGUGAGUAACGCGUAUCCAACCUGCCCAUCACUUGGGGAUAACCUUGUGAAAGUAAGACUAAUACCCAAUGACGUCUCUAGAAGACAUCUGAAAGAGAUUAAAGAUUUAUCGGUGAUGGAUGGGGAUGCGUCUGAUUAGCUUGUUGGCGGGGUAACGGCCCACCAAGGCGACGAUCAGUAGGGGUUCUGAGAGGAAGGUCCCCCACAUUGGAACUGAGACACGGUCCAAAACUCCUACGGGAGGCAGCAGUGAGGAAUAUUGGUCAAUGGACGAGAGUCUGAACCAGCCAAGUAGCGUGCAGGAUGACGGCCCUAUGGGUUGUAAACUGCUUUUAUAAGGGAAUAAAGUGGGAGUCGUGACUCUUUUUGCAUGUACCUUAUGAAUAAGAACCGGCUAAUUCCGUGCCAGCAG
This 500-nucleotide ribosomal RNA is filed under the name uncultured bacterium. RNAcentral describes it as "bacterial SSU rRNA". It matches the Rfam family "Bacterial small subunit ribosomal RNA", at positions 28 to 514 of the family's 1533-position model. The record is from RNAcentral.